RNAcentral lists this ribosomal RNA (255 nucleotides) under uncultured bacterium. Its description in RNAcentral is "partial 16S ribosomal RNA". It matches the Rfam family "Bacterial small subunit ribosomal RNA", at positions 1246 to 1500 of the family's 1533-position model. The record is from RNAcentral.
GCAGCGAAGUCGUGAGGCGGAGCAAAUCUCGAAAAGCCGUCCCAGUUCGGAUUGCAGGCUGCAACCCGCCUGCAUGAAGUUGGAAUCGCUAGUAAUCGUGGAUCAGCAUGCCGCGGUGAAUACGUUCCCGGGUCUUGUACACACCGCCCGUCACACCAUGGGAGUUUGUAACGCCCAAAGUCGGUGGCCUAACCUUUAUGGAGGGAGCCGCCUAAGGCGGGACAGAUGACUGGGGUGAAGUCGUAACAAGGUAAC